Molecule: ribosomal RNA, 1461 nt
Filed under: Ophiogobius jenynsi
Lineage: Eukaryota; Metazoa; Chordata; Actinopteri; Gobiiformes; Gobiidae
Description: partial 16S ribosomal RNA
Rfam family: Bacterial large subunit ribosomal RNA
Source: RNAcentral
AUCCCAACAGCUAGCCCCAACCAACCAAUCAACAACCCACAUUAAUACCCCCGCAUAAAGCAACCACCCCAAGCCAAACCAUUUUUCCCCCUAAGUACGGGAGACGGAACAGGAAUAUGGCGCCAUAGAGAUAGUACCGCAAGGGAACGCUGAAAGAGAAUUGAAACAACCCAUUCAAGACCAGAGAAGCAGAGAUUACACCUCGUACCUUUUGCAUCAUGACUUAGCAAGCAGACCCAAGCAAAGAGCCCUUUACGUUUGAACCCCCGAAACUGUACGAGCUACUCCGAGACAGCCUGUGUAGGGCGAACCCGUCUCUGUGGCAAAAGAGUGGGAAGAGCUCCGAGUAGAGGUGACAGACCUACCGAGUACAGUUAUAGCUGGUUGCCCGAGACACGAAUAGAAGUUCGGCCUUUUGACUUCUUUUACCAAGAAGGAGGAUUCUCCACCCCCGGCCCAAAGAGCAUCAAAAGAGUUAUUCAAAAGAGGGACAGCUCUUUUGAACUAAGAUACAACUUUUUUAGGAGGGCAAAGACUAAAUCUAGCAAGGGAUACGCCCAGGUGGGCUUAAAAGCAGCCAUCCUAACAAAAAGCGUUAAAGCUAAAGCGUGAGGCCCCUAUAAUUCUAGCCAUCUUUUCUUAUCCCCCUAGCCCUAUCGGGCUAUCCCAUGCCAUCAUGGGAGAAAAACUGCUAACAUGAGUAACAAGGGAGCUCACCCCUCCCUCCCUGCCAAUGUGUAAUCAGAACAGACUCUGACUGAAAAUUAACGCCCCCGAAGAAGGAACUGGGAUAUAAUUAGAACAACUAGAGAUCCCCCAAAAACAAGCGUUAGCCCCACACUGGAAGGCCAUGGGAAAGACAAAAGGGGGAAGAAGGAACUCGGCAAACACUAGCCUCGCCUGUUUACCAAAAACAUCGCCUCUUGCAUGCCCAGUAUAAGAGGUCCCGCCUGCCCUGUGACGCGAGUUUAACGGCCGCGGUAUUUUGACCGUGCGAAGGUAGCGUAAUCACCUGUCUUUUAAAUAGAGACCUGUAUGAAUGGCAUAACGAGGGCUAAGCUGUCUCCUUUCCCCAGUCAGUGAAAUUGAUCUGCCCGUGCAGAAGCGGGCAUACCUACAUAAGACGAGAAGACCCUAUGGAGCUUUAGGCCUCCAGACAGACUAAGUUAAUCACCCCCACCACGGGACCAAACCAAAUAUUUCCUGCCUGACUGCCUUUGGUUGGGGCGACCACGGAGUAACAUAAAACCCCCGGGAGGAAUGGACAUAUGUCCUUAAGCUAGAGCCACAGCUCAAGCAACCAGAACUUCUGACCACCAAGAUCCGGCAACGCCGAUUAACGGACCCAGUUACCCUAGGGAUAACAGCGCAAUCCUCUUUUAGAGCCCAUAUCGACAAGAGGGUUUACGACCUCGAUGUUGGAUCAGGACAUCCUAUUGGUGCAGCCGCUAUUAAGGGUUC